This 506-nucleotide ribosomal RNA is filed under the name uncultured bacterium. RNAcentral's name for it is "bacterial SSU rRNA". It matches the Rfam family "Bacterial small subunit ribosomal RNA", at positions 40 to 518 of the family's 1533-position model. The record is from RNAcentral.
CGGCGUGCCUAAUACAUGCAAGUCGAACGGUCUUUCUAUGGAAGCUUGCUUCCACUGAGAAGAUAGUGGCGAACGGGUGAGUAACACGUGGGUAACCUGCCCAUAAGAGGGGGGAUAACAUCCGGAAACGGGUGCUAAUACCGCAUAGUUUCUUGAUCGCAUGAUCGGGAAAGGAAAGACGGCCUUUGUGCUGUCGCUUAUGGAUGGACCCGCGGCGUAUUAGUUAGUUGGUGAGGUAACGGCUCACCAAGACGAUGAUACGUAGCCGACCUGAGAGGGUGAUCGGCCACAUUGGGACUGAGACACGGCCCAAACUCCUACGGGAGGCAGCAGUAGGGAAUCUUCCGCAAUGGACGAAAGUCUGACGGAGCAACGCCGCGUGAGUGAAGAAAAGGUUUUCGGAUCGUAAAACUCUGUUGUCAGAGAAGAACAAGUUGGAGAGUAACUGCUCCAGCCUUGACGGUAUCUGACCAGAAAGCCACGGCUAACUACGUGCCAGCCGCAGC